NNCAGAGACCAGGGGUGGACUUCAGCCCAGUCUAGGUCCAGUGGAAAACAUGCAUUGCACUUGUCCUGUCUGAGCAGAGAAAGGGCCGAACUUCCCAAAGGCUCUACCUUAGGAGGUGGGAGUGUCAACAGGGGUUGGUCAUCUUGGGUUGAACUGAAAGGUCAACUCAGUUGACCUCUAAGGCAGUUUCAACGCCAGCACCUCUAUUCCCUACCCUCCACCAACUGCUUGCGGGGUUGGUGGGGGAAAGAGGCANNNNNNNNAAGAAAACAAAGCAUGAGGAAAAUGAGGGGCACGUCAUGACAGGUGUGGGUCUUUGCUGGGUCAGACACCUCAGGAGGCAGGCUCAGGCCUCCCUCUAAGUCCUGCAAUUAGAGAAUUAUUCUGGAAGCCCAGGCAAGUACCUCUGAAGCACAGCCUUCUCCUCUCAUUCUCUGACUGACUUACUCAACAGACGUUUGUUGACUGCUGAGCCUUCUGUUUGGAAACUAGGGCUACACUGCUGCCCAAAUGUUUGUUUGCAACCAAAACAAACACAGAGCCUAUGGAGCUUAUUGUCUGGUGGGGAAAACAGGAACUUGCAAAUAAAGACAAAAAUCAAUGGAACAAUUGCAGCCUGGUGCAUUGGUAUCAAGAGGACGAGGAGAAAACUACUUGUUUACGACGUCCAGGAGGACUGGAUGCAAUCAGGGAAGGCUUCCUGGAGGGAGUGACAAUUGAGUUAAAAUACAAGGAAUGAGAAGCGGCAAAGAAAGGGAGAGGCUAGCAUGAGUCAAGACCCUUGGGCAGGAAGCAGCAGGGAAAGUUCUGGAAACCGAAAGAAAGUCAAUGUGGUAAGAGGACAGAGAUUUAAGGAGAGAGCAGUGAGAAAUGAGACCAGAGGGGGCUCAUCUAGGCAGGGGCUAGAUUACUGGAGAGGGGGCUGGGGUGACUCAGGGGUCCAUCUUUAUCCUAAGAGUAACAAAAUCAUUGGUGUGAUUUACCUGGGGAUGGGAGGCGUGAGAAAGACACACCCAGAUUUGAGUUUCAAGAAGACCCCUUUGUGUUUGAAAAUGGUAUGGAGGGGGAACCACUCCCCGCCAGCUUCACCUGUCCGCCCACCCUCACCACACCCUUCCGGGGCCAGAAUGCUGCCACCUGCCCUUGGUAAGCUGGUGCCGGGAACUGCCCUCACCCUGGUCUGCCCUGCCCUGCCCUCUGCACUCCUGGCUGGCACCAUUCGUGGCUGCAAGAAUGUCCCUUUCUCUACUGCCUUCCACGGGCCCCCGUCUGCGGCUCCCACCACUGGCUCCCAGGUACAGGGGACAAUCCUCUCCCAGGUAGAAUGA
RNAcentral lists this long non-coding RNA (1328 nucleotides) under Capra hircus (goat). RNAcentral's name for it is "lncRNA (ENSCHIG00010013210.1)". Lineage: Eukaryota; Metazoa; Chordata; Mammalia; Artiodactyla; Bovidae. The record is from RNAcentral.